UGCACUUGCAUUUGUGCAUCUAUUGGUUU
RNAcentral lists this non-coding RNA (29 nucleotides) under Rattus norvegicus (Norway rat). Lineage: Eukaryota; Metazoa; Chordata; Mammalia; Rodentia; Muridae. The record is from RNAcentral.